Non-coding RNA from Pelobates cultripes (western spadefoot toad), 106 nucleotides. Lineage: Eukaryota; Metazoa; Chordata; Amphibia; Anura; Pelobatidae. The record is from the annotation of a GenBank genome assembly.
AGGCUUUGUUCAUCUGAUUUAUUUGUGGUUAAUCCAGAGAUGUCAACGUUUCAGCUCCCGAUCGGAACGUUGACAUCUCUGGAUUAACCACAAAUAAAUCGGAUGA